CGGGAGAAUUGCUAGCUUGCUAAUAAUUCUCUAGUGGCGCACGGGUGAGUAACACGUGAGUAACCUGCCCCCAAGAGUGGGAUAGCCCCGGGAAACUGGGAUUAAUACCGCAUAAAAUCGCAAGAUUAAAGCAGCAAUGCGCUUGGGGAUGGGCUCGCGUCCUAUUAGUUAGUUGGUGAGGUAACGGCUCACCAAGGCGAUGACGGGUAGCCGGUCUGAGAGGAUGUCCGGCCACACUGGAACUGAGACACGGUCCAGACACCUACGGGUGGCAGCAGUCGAGAAUCAUUCACAAUGGGGGAAACCCUGAUGGUGCGACGCCGCGUGGGGGAAUGAAGGUCUUCGGAUUGUAAACCCCUGUCAUGUGGGAGCAAAUUAAAAAGAUAGUACCACAAGAGGAAGAGACGGCUAACUCUGUGCCAGCAGCCGCGGUAAUACAGAGGUCUCAAGCGUUGUUCGGAAUCACUGGGCGUAAAGCGUGCGUAGGCGGUUUCGUAAGUCGUGUGUGAAAGGCGGGGGCUCAACCCCCGGACUGCACAUGAUACUGCGAGACUAGAGUAAUGGAGGGGGAACCGGAAUUCUCGGUGUAGCAGUGAAAUGCGUAGAUAUCGAGAGGAACACUCGUGGCGAAGGCGGGUUCCUGGACAUUAACUGACGCUGAGGCACGAAGGCCAGGGGAGCGAAAGGGAUUAGAUACCCCUGUAGUCCUGGCAGUAAAC
RNAcentral lists this ribosomal RNA (719 nucleotides) under uncultured bacterium. RNAcentral's name for it is "bacterial SSU rRNA". It matches the Rfam family "Bacterial small subunit ribosomal RNA", at positions 67 to 807 of the family's 1533-position model. The record is from RNAcentral.